UACGGAGGAUGCGAGCGUUAUCCGGAUUUAUUGGGUUUAAAGGGUGCGUAGGCGGGCUUUUAAGUCAGCGGUAAAAAUUCGGGGCUCAACCCCGUCCGGCCGUUGAAACUGGGGGCCUUGAGUGGGCGAGAAGAAGGCGGAAUGCGUGGUGUAGCGGUGAAAUGCAUAGAUAUCACGCAGAACCCCGACUGCGAAGGCAGCCUUCCGGCGCCCUACUGACGCUGAGGCACGAAAGUGCGGGGAUCGAACAGG
This 252-nucleotide ribosomal RNA is filed under the name uncultured bacterium. RNAcentral's name for it is "partial 16S ribosomal RNA". It matches the Rfam family "Bacterial small subunit ribosomal RNA", at positions 524 to 776 of the family's 1533-position model. The record is from RNAcentral.